This is a long non-coding RNA of Syngnathus typhle (broad-nosed pipefish), 8736 nucleotides long. RefSeq lists it as uncharacterized. NCBI's taxonomy places the organism in Eukaryota, Metazoa, Chordata, Actinopteri, Syngnathiformes, Syngnathidae. The transcript is spliced from 3 exons. The record is from RefSeq and is a predicted model, not a curated record.
UCAAACAUUAAAAAUGCUUUCUGUGUACAGUCUUUCUUUGUAAAUAACUCAUGCGCACAUGCGGCUUAUAGUCCGGUGCGGUUUAUAUAAGGAAAAACCGAAAAUAUCCCCGAAUCUUAUCUGGUGCGGCUUAUUGUCCGGUGCGGCUUAUAGUCCAAAAAUUACAGUACGUUAGAUUAUCAAUACUGCAAUUUCCUCACCAUAAGGCGCUUGGGGUCAAAAGGUGCGGACUCAAUUGCAGGGGCUUUUCUGCACUUCAUUCUGCACUCUGUACUUCAUGCACACACAGGCAGCGCAUUAUAGGGCACAUGCAUACCAUGACUUAUGGCGGGGGGGGUUAACAAGACAGUGAGUUGUACUUUAUUCUACUACUGUAUUUUUUGCACCAUAAGGCGUUUCAGGUUAAAAGGCGCAGACUCAAUUCCGGGUCUUUUCUGUAUUUAUUCCACACAUAGGACGCACCGCAUUGUAGGGCAACAUGCAUGCCAUGACUUACGGUAAACAAAAAACAUCACGGGAGCAAGGCAAUGAGUUUGGUUGAUUUAUUCUUACUAGUUAAUCAUGUACUCUACUGUACUCACAUAAUUGUUAACCGAUAUUCAUAUGCAAAUCUAUCAAAGUUCUCAUCUUCAAACAUGAUACAUUUCCUCUUGUCAUUGUCACGUUGCUCUUCUGCAAUUAUCCUGGCUUUUCAGAAAGCUCUAAUUGUGCCUCGUAAGCAUGUUUCUUUGUCUAUGCCAGGUCCGAAUGCUGUUUGCUUUGAACAAACGAUAGUACCGUUUUGGCCCGAAUAUAAGAUGUUUUUUGCAUUGAAAUAAGACUGAAAAAGCGGGGGUCGUCUUAUAUUUGGGGUCUAGACAUUAUACCCAAUUUCACUUGUGGCAACGGUAAGAGGCUAGUAUCGACUGAGUAUGUUGCUGUGAUCGUGUGCGUCUUUGACACAAAGUGAGUGAAUGAAGGUGUAAAAAAAAAAAAAAAAAAAAAAAAAAAAAAAACCACACCAUCUCAAAGUAUUGUAAAUCUCAGUUUGUGCGUUACAAUUUCAGGACAGAAAAAGAUGCAAAAAUAUCCAAAAAUAUCGAUUAAAUUGCUUAUUUCUUGACCACAUUUAGUCUGUCAAUAUCUUGAAACCAAUUUGUAACAGUCUAUAUGGUAAGCAAGCUACUAUACAGCGAAACAUGAGAUCAACCGAACAGAAAUAAGAUUGCCAUUGCAGUAAUAUAUAAUCAUUAAUUGGCCCUAAACCCAGACUGAAAUGGUUUAAAUUGACUGUUAGCAACCAUUUCAUCAUUAAGUUGCUGCGCUACUACCGUUUUUUUCCUUGUAUAAUGCGCAAAAUUUAACUAAUUUAUUGUCCUAAAAUCUGGGGUGCGCAUUAUACAUGGGUACAAAAAAUUCUUUUUUUUUUUUUUAAAUUCUUUUUUUUUUGUUUGUUUUAAGUACAACAAAACCAACAACAGGACUGACCGACAAAGACGUGGAACAAAAAGACAGGGUGACAUUACCAAAGACAGGAACAGAAACCAAACAGACAUCAUGACAUCAUCCGACGGUGAGCGAGGGGCAGACAGGACUUAAAUACAAAACACGUUACAUUGAUUGAGGUGAUACAGGAAGAGAGGAGCGACGCGAACAGAAACUAUGGCAACCUAGACACAUAGCAAAACUGGGGAUGAGACAUGACAAAUCUCCCUCGAAAUCAAACUUGAAAUCACCUUUCUUCUUGUUUGUUGUCAAUCGCGCAUCGCAUUCAGCCAUUCUGCCCAACACACUUAGUCAGUAAAAUUCAUAAUUGACGACACAUCGUUUGAUGCGAUGGUGCAAUCCUUGAUGGUGUGUUAUUGUCAAAUAUUGUUUGUUUUUUAAUCUCCAUCGCGGACCGGACGUCAUACGAAGGCAGUAUAACUGCGCAUGCGCACUAUGGAUCAGCUGCGCAGAACGGAUGCGCAAGACACGUCAGCUAUAUAAAGAGCGAGAGUUGAUUUCUUCCUGUUAGUUUAAAUUCACAGUUUAAUUAGCAGUUUCAAUCAGCGAAUAACAAAAUGCGUAUUACAGGUAAUAUUUGAUUUCACAACACUUUGCCUUGUUCCUUUCGUCGCUGCUGUUCACUUCAAACACGCUUCAUACGACCGCAAUGCUCUCGUAUCAGACGCUUGCUCGAUCACCUGCUCGUUUGCUGUCUGUCACAAUGUACCCUACACAAAUCCGAAACAUUUGUUGCGGCUCCGAGUCACGACGAGGGGCAAGUUUUGGUUUCCAAGGGUAUUUUUAUUCCUCUUCAACGUCUCUCCCAUACAGAGCCGCCUUUUUCACGUCCGCACGCCUCUUUCCCGUGCGCGCACGGAGCGCGGUGGUGCGUUUACGGCAGUCGGAGAAAUCAACGCCAACAAAAAAAAUUACAUCCAGCCUAGUUAAGACCAUACCAAAGACUAUAAAAAUGGGACCCAUUGCCUCCCUGCGUGUGUGACGAUCAUUGGGACUAAAAAAAAAAAAAUUCAUAAAAAUUGGGUGCGUAUUAUACAUGGGUACAGGCUUUUUUCCAGCAUCAGCAUGCCAUUUUUAGGGUGCGUAUUAUACAUGGGGGCGCACUAUACACGGAAAAAAACGGUACUUUAACAUGUCUUUCUAAACAUUGCCUGUGACGCAGCAGUAGUACCGCAGCAACACGGAAGUGUGUACGUGAGUUAUUAACAAAGAAAGACUGGACACAGAAAGCUUUUUUAAAGUUUUAACAACAUACCUUAAUAUUUCUUUCCAAACACUGCCUGUGACGCGGCAGUAAUACCGCAGCAACACGGAAGUAACACAGCACUAAUAGGGUUUGAUUAAAUAAAACAUACCGGUAAAAGUCACUGAGACGCGGCGGUAACACAGCAGCAACACGGUAGCACAGCACUAACAGGGCUGAUUAAAAAAAGCACACAAGUAAAAGUAAAAAAAAGAGCUUCAUCGUCUUCAUCUUCCUCCUGUGCAUUGAAACCAUCGAAGUCUUCCGAUUGGAAUAGCGUUAGUUAUCCUUUGCCACACAAUUUGUCAGAAUCUCUUUUGUUGUCGGUUUUAUACAUUUCUUCUAGCAUUUUCUAUGAUGAGGGUCUGUUCAUGCUAAUUUUAUUCAUGCACGAAGCGCUAAAUUACAUUAAACUAGCGAGCAACACGUAUAGCUCCACAGUAGACGGGACAACGAAAUAAAGAAAAGGGUGACGCAACACAAUGUCAUCGACUGCCUUCAUAUGCAUUUCUUUUGUCACCCAUAAUGUUUGUGUAUAAAAGCUUCCUUUCAGUCAUGUCCGUCUUGAUCUCGUUCUGUCUCUUCUUUGUGUGAAUUAUACGUCACUAUUUGCCUGGCGGAUGGACAUGCAAUCAACACACCACUUUUCUCCCCAGUGACCGUGUCAUACAUCCCUCCGCCCAGCAAAGCGGUGCCGCACAACAGUGGUCCACAGCCUUUUUACAAGUGUAUAAAAGUGAUCAAGUCAUCACAAAAAUCACGGAAAAAUCCUAUAUAAACCGCACCGGACUAUAAACCGCAGGGUUCAAAAUUUGAGAAAAAAGUCCAGGUUUAUAGUCCGAAAUUUAUGUUAGUUCUUUGACAAGUUUCCUGGAAGCGGGUCGAGAAAGCAAAUUGUCUAUUUAGCCGCACAAACCAAUUGUGUCCCGACUGGGUGUUUGGAACAGUAACCGUGAUAUCAUCCCGAAUGGAUUGAAUCUUUCGAGUGAAAAAAUUCACAAAAUCAUCGGCUGAGUGGGAGGAACUAUUGGAAGGUGCUUGCCAAGGAGAUGAAUUUAAAAGAAUUUCAAGGAGGACCUUCUUGGUGUUAUUGCUUUAUGCAACGCAAUCGCUUCUCUAUCAGAGCAAGGACAUCGAUGCCCCGAAAAUUCCCAGCAGACUUCCGUGAGUUCAUUGAGAAGCAUGUAAGUGAGCACAAUGUGACACCGAUCAUAUUAUUAACAUGGACGAGAUCCCCCUCACGUUUUACAUUCCCAUGGGCCGAAGUGUAGCAGAAAAAUAGCAGAAGAGUGUUAAUAUACUAACAACUGGUCAUGAGAAGUCACAGUUCACAGUGGUGCUGGCAUGUUGAGGAAAUUGCUCAAAAUUGCCACCAAUGGUCAUUUUCAUUUGUUACAGAUGUAUUUAUUUUCUGUAUAGAAAUUAAAUUUGGUGUUCAAAAAGUAUUUUUCCAAACUCGAGUCUUGAAAAAGAGGAGGUUGUCUUAUAUUCGGGGUCGUCUUAUAUUCGGGCCAAUACGGUAUUUCUUUAUCUAUCAAUGGCGGUGGACGUACGUAGUCUAAAGGUUACGUAGUUCUCUGCUUGUUUUUUUGCCACAAUUUACAUAAAACGUAAUGUCCUCUGAUUGGUUCUUCGGGUCUACAUAUUGCGCGUGUAUACUACAUCUCUGUGUGGAGAAAGCCACACGAAACACCUUUACAGAUUUGCACAAACGAUAGUAGUAGACGUCAUGAUGGCGCCGCGGAUGGCUGCCACGGUGAGUCGCCCUCCGCUACUUUGUGUUAUUUUGUGUUUUCUGUGUCCUCUGCUGUCCAUCCCGGAUCACUUUUACCAGAGAAUAACUGUUAAACAUCGGACAGUCUUCUCCUGGUAUUUUCUCUCCAGUUCUCUCUGAUCCAGACUGUUUGACGGAGAUGUUAGCCAGAGCGGCGGUGCAAUACAAGCUAGCACACCAAAGAUGACGUGGCAAACGCGCCGGACCCCUCGUAAAGCUGAGGCAGAGAGGGUUCCGUUCUGCCCUACCAUCUGGCGAAUGUCCGCUCCCUGGCAAACAAGAUGGACAAAAUGCUGCUUCUCUUUUAAAAGAGCACAGACUUCGGAUCCGCCGUGCUGUGCUUUGAUGAAACGUGGCUUGACGGACGCACCCCCCACCACGCCGUGGAGUUAGCUGGGUUUUGGCUAAUGCGUGCGGAGCUCACCGGAAAAUCAAAGGGAAGUGGUUUAUGUUUCUAUAUUAAUGAUUGUUGGUGUACUGUUGGUGUUGAAAGAGUCUUGCAGCCCUCUCCUAGAAACACUUUUCAUAAACUGCCGGCCGUUCUAUUCACCACGGGAGUUCUCCUCGAUCGUCAUAGCGGCUGUUUACAUUCCACAACACGCACGUGCGAGUAAAGCCACCCAGAUGCUGGCUGACCAGAUGACAGACAUGGAGAAACUUUUACCAAAUUCAUUAAUCAUUGUUCUGGGUGAUUUUAACAGGGCGAACCUUGCACACGAACUCCCCGAAUACAGACAGGACAUAACGUGUGCCACCAGAGAGGCAUAGACACUGGACCACUGCUACACCAUAAUAAAGGAUGAAUACCACUCUGUGGCUCGUGCAGCUUUAGGACUCUCAGACCACUGUCUAGUUCAUCUGAUCUCGGCCUACAGGCAGAAAUUAAAAACUUCUAAGCCUGUGGUGAGGACUGCGAGGAAGUGGACAGUGGAGUCAAAGCAGGACCUCUUUGACUGUACCGAUCAGCGAGUUUUUGAAGCUGCAACUUCAGACAUACAUGAACUCACUGACACUGUCACAUCAUACAUUAGUUUUUGUGAGGAUCUGUGUGUGCAGACUAAGACCUUCUGCACGCACAACAACGACAAACCUUGGUUUACACCGAACCUCAGGUUGCUGUGCAAAGCCAAGGAGGAGGCCUACAGGAGUGGCGACCGGGACAUGUUCAAGCAGACCAGAAACACACUAAACCGAGAGGUCAGGAAAGCCAAGAGGUGUUACGGGGAGAGCCUGGAGAGACACCUCUCUGCCAAUUCUGAUCCCUCAACAGUGUGGAAAGGUCUGCAGAGCAUCACGGGCUUUAAGAAGCCAACGCCCCGUCCUAUAGAGAGCCCAAGGCUUGCAAACCAGCCAAAAAGGUUUUACUGCAGGUUUGAUCGGUCCUGCCACACAACAGGACCGCCUGCAGAACAAUCAACAUACUCACCUCCCCCCUCAACCGUUCUGUCCACACCUCCAUCAUCGUUAUCAUCUACUCUCUCUCUUACAGAAGCCGCGCCCGCACUCGGACCACCUCCUCGCAGAUCAGAUGUUCCGGAGACAAAAUGUCAGGAAGGUACCAGGCCCAGACGGCGUGUCCCCCUCCUGCCUGAAAGUCUGUGCUGAACAACUAGCACCCACCUUUGCACGGAUCUUCAACCGUUCCCUGGAGCUGUGUGAGGUGCCCUUGUGCUUCAAGAGCUCCACCAUCGUACCGGUGGCCAAGAAGCCCGCCAUCACAGGUUUGAAUGACUGUGGACUUGUCGCCCUGAAAUCUGUGGUCAGGAAAUCUCGAGAGGUUAGUGUUAAACCACCUGAAGGACGUCACGGGCCCCCUGCUUGACCCCCUCCAGUUUGCCUACCGGGCAAGCAGGUCGGUGGACGAUGCCAUCAACAUGGGACUGCACUACAUCCUGCACCACCUGGACACCCCAGGAACGUACGCCAGAAUCCUGUUUGUGGACUUCAGCUCAGCGUUCAACACCAUCACUCCUGACAUCCUCCAACAGAAGCUCAUCCAGCUUGCGGUGCCUGCCUCCAUCUGUCAGUUGAUAACCAGCUUCCUGACCAACAGGAGACAGCGUGUGAGGCUGGGUACAAUCACAUCCGACACCCGGACCACCAAUACCGGCACCACUCAGGGGUGCGUCCUCUCCCCACUGCUCUUCUCUCUCUACACUAACGAUUGUUCCUCAGGCGACUCUCCUGUGAAGUUCCUGAAGUAUGCAGACGACACCAUUCUCAUCGGCCUGAUCCAGGACGGUGACGAGACUGCGCACAGACAGGAGGUGGAGCGGCUGGUCCACUGGUGCAGCCAAACCUACCUGGAGCUGUAGACCGUGGAGAUGACAGUGGACUUCAGGAGAGACCCUUCACCACUUCCACCCCUCACUAGCCACAGUAAUACUAUUCUCUCCACAGACACCUUCAAGCUCCUGGAAUCCACAGUCUCUCGAGACAUGAAAUGGACCAGCCACGUAGACUCUGUCCGGAAGAAGGCCCAGCAGAGGCUGUACUUUCUGAGACAGCUCAGGAGGUUCAACCUGCCACAGGGGCUGCUGAAGACCUUCUAUACUGCCAUCAUCCAGUCUAUCCUCUGCACUUCCAUCACUGUCUGGUUUGGAUCGGCCUUCAAACAAGACAAGUACAGACUAUAACGGACAAUCAGGACUGCAGAAAAGAUAAUUGGGAUCAACCUCCCAUCUAUCCAGGACUUGUACCUGUCCAGGACCAGGAAAUGUGCAAGUAACAUCUUGACAGACGCUUCUCACCCAGGUUGCAGUCUGUUCGAACUACUCUCCUCUGGACGGCGUUAUCGAGCCCUGUACGCCAAAACCAGCAGACACAGAGACAGCUUCUUCCCCCAGGCUGUCGCUCUGAUGAACUCACACCAAUCUUAGAGUCUCAGAGUCACGUUUGUGCAAUAACAUCCUGCUCUCCACGCCUUUUUUGAAUUGUCUAUUGUCUAUAUGUGUACCGUGUCCACUCUGCAUCCAUUGCAGCCUGGUCAUCCUAGAAGAGGGGUCCUCCCAUCUGUGGUGUCUUCUCAAGGUUUCUUAUUUCCCCGAGUUGGAGUUUUGAGUUUUCCCUUGCCCUCCUUGGAGUUUAAGAUCAGGGGCUGUUUGAGAAUAUUUGUCAAUUUGUUUGAGUGUUGUUAGUCACCUAAAUGUUGAACAGAGGCUGUGAUGUACCGAAGUCAAAUUCCUUGUUUGACAUGGCGAACAAAAAUUAUUGAAUCAUGAAUUUAAUAAUCAAUGGUGGCGGAGGUACGUACUCUACAUGUUACUUACACUCUGAUUGUUUUUUGGCCCCGAUCUACAUAAAAUGUAAUGUCAUCUGAUUGGUUGAUCGGGUUUACAUAUUACGUCUGUCUAUUACGGAAGCCACACAAAACAACUUUACAGAUUUUUGAAUUCGGUCUCCACAAAAGGUGCACCUUAUUAAACGGCGCACCUUUGUGGUUUUGAGAAAAUUAAAGGCUUUUAAGUGCGCCUUAUGGUGCAGAAAAUAUGAUAAUUGUUUGUUCAUUCAUGCGAAGACACAGCUAAAGCCUAUUGACAAAUAGGAAACAGAAUAUUCUAAAGAGCUCUGUCAGCUUUUACAUUUUCUUAUGACAACUUACUUUUUUAAUUUUAGAAAAUGACAAGUCAAACAUGUUGCUUAACUCUACAGUAAGCUUUACAAAAAAAUAUUUAUAUACAUAGUGGACAUUACCAAAAAUGUCUUGAAGCUCUGUAGUUUGUACUGAAACUACACAAAACAAAAUAGUAUCGGCCUUCAUAAUCACAAAGUGAUUCUAUAACAUAGUUACAUGCAACUGUUUGUAAAUUCCUUUUUAAUAAUUACCUUAUUUUCUAUAAGUCGCAGUUUUUUUUCAUAGUUUGGUGCGACUUUUACUCUGGUACUCUGGUAAUUAUUAAUUUAAUUUAUCACUUCACGUUAUUUUUACUUUAAACCACAUGAGAGCGAUCUCGGCCUGUGGAAUAAUUGGAACUGGAAUUGACGAGGCGUCUGAUAUCCACUGACUACCACGAUCCACUGACUUCCGAAGUCAGCAGAGUUGUUUAUAAAUGAUACGGAGGACAACGAUUUUGAUGGAUAUAAUAAUUUGGAGUGACACGGAUGGUUGGAUAAACUUAUUUAUGUUAUAGCUAGUUGAUGUAUAGUUUAUAUAUACAGGACUGUCUCAGAAUAUUUGAAUAUUAUGAUAAAGUUCUUUAUUUUCUGUAAUGCAAUAAAAAAAACAAGAAUGUCA